CAAGGCACCCUUAGAGUUUGAUCCUGGCUCAGGACGAACGCUGGCGGCGUGCUUAAUACAUGCAAGUCGAGCGGACAGAAGGGAGCUUGCUCCCGGAUGUUAGCGGCGGACGGGUGAGUAACACGUGGGUAACCUGCUGGUAGGACUGGGAUAAUUCCGGGAAACCGGAGUUAAUACCGGAUAGUUCCUUGAACGGCAUGGUUCAAGGAUGAAAGACGGUUUCGGUUGCCACUUCCAGAUGGACCCGCGGGCCAUUAGUUAGUUGGGGAGGUAACGGUUCACCAAGGCGAGGAGGGGUAGCGGCCCUGAGAGGGUGUUGGGCCCCACUGGGAUUGAGCCACGGCCCAGAUUCUUACGGGAGGCACCAGUAGGGAUUUUUCCCCAAUGGAGGAAAUUCGGAGGGAGCAACGCCGCGGGAGUGAUGAAGGUUUUGGGUUGGUAAAGUUUUGUUGUUAGGGAAGACCAAGUCCAAGAGUAAAUGGUGGCACCUUGACGGUACCUAACCAGAAAGCCACGGCUAACUACGUGCCAGCAGCCGCGGUAAUACGUAGGUGGCAAGCGUUGUCCGGAAUUAUUGGGCGUAAAGGGCUCGCAGGCGGUUUCUUAAGUCUGAUGUGAAAGCCCCCGGCUCAACCGGGGAGGGUCAUUGGAAACUGGGAAACUUGAGUGCAGAAGAGGAGAGUGGAAUUCCACGUGUAGCGGUGAAAUGCGUAGAGAUGUGGAGGAACACCAGUGGCGAAGGCGACUCUCUGGUCUGUAACUGACGCUGAGGAGCGAAAGCGUGGGGAGCGAACAGGAUUAGAUACCCUGGUAGUCCACGCCGUAAACGAUGAGUGCUAAGUGUUAGGGGGUUUCCGCCCCUUAGUGCUGCAGCUAACGCAAUUAAGCACUCCGCCUGGGGAGUACGGUCGCAAGACUGAAACUCAAAGGAAUUGACGGGGGCCCGCACAAGCGGUGGAGCAUGUGGUUUAAUUCGAAGCAACGCGAAGAACCUUACCAGGUCUUGACAUCCUCUGACAACCCUAGAGAUAGGGCUUUCCCUUCGGGGACAGAGUGACAGGUGGUGCAUGGUUGUCGUCAGCUCGUGUCGUGAGAUGUUGGGUUAAGUCCCGCAACGAGCGCAACCCUUGAUCUUAGUUGCCAGCAUUCAGUUGGGCACUCUAAGGUGACUGCCGGUGACAAACCGGAGGAAGGUGGGGAUGACGUCAAAUCAUCAUGCCCCUUAUGACCUGGGCUACACACGUGCUACAAUGGACAGAACAAAGGGCUGCGAGACCGCAAGGUUUAGCCAAUCCCACAAAUCUGUUCUCAGUUCGGAUCGCAGUCUGCAACUCGACUGCGUGAAGCUGGAAUCGCUAGUAAUCGCGGAUCAGCAUGCCGCGGUGAAUACGUUCCCGGGCCUUGUACACACCGCCCGUCACACCACGAGAGUUUGCAACACCCGAAGUCGGUGAGGUAACCUUUAUGGAGCCAGCCGCCGAAGGUGGGGCAGAUGAUUGGGGUGAAGUCGUAACAAGGUUAACCGUAGGGUGUGAUCGGGGCUCGGUAGGU
This 1551-nucleotide ribosomal RNA is filed under the name Bacillus xiamenensis. RNAcentral's name for it is "bacterial SSU rRNA". It matches the Rfam family "Bacterial small subunit ribosomal RNA". The record is from RNAcentral. Lineage: Bacteria; Bacillati; Bacillota; Bacilli; Caryophanales; Bacillaceae.